ACAGUCCAUCAUUACUUUAAGACAUGAAGGUCAGUCCAUCAUUACUUUAAGACAUGAAGGUCAGUCCAUCAUUACUUUAAGACAUGAAGGUCAGUCAAUACAACAGUCCAUCAUUACUUUAAGACAUGAAGGUCAGUCAAUACAACAGUCCAUCAUUACUUUAAGACAUGAAGGUCAGUCAAUACAACAGUCCAUCAUUACUUUAAGACAUGAAGGUCAGUCAAUACAACAGUCCAUCAUUACUUUAAGACAUGAAGGUCAGUCCAUCAUUACUUUAAGACAUGAAGGUCAGUCAAUACAACAGUCCAUCAUUACUUUAAGACAUGAAGGUCAGUCAAUACAACAGUCCAUCAUUACUUUAAGACAUGAAGGUCAGUCAAUACAACAGUCCAUCAUUACUUUAAGACAUGAAGGUCAGUCCAUCAUUACUUUAAGACAUGAAGGUCAGUCAAUACAACAGUCCAUCAUUACUUUAAGACAUGAAGGUCAGUCAAUACAACAGUCCAUCAUUACUUUAAGACAUGAAGGUCAGUCAAUACAACAGUCCAUCAUUACUUUAAGACAUGAAGGUCAGUCAAUACAACAGUCCAUCAUUACUUUAAGACAUGAAGGUCAGUCAAUACAACAGUCCAUCAUUACUUUAAGACAUGAAGGUCAGUCAAUACAACAGUCCAUCAUUACUUUAAGACAGGAAGGUCAGUCAAUACAACAGUCCAUCAUUACUUUAAGACAUGAAGGUCAGUCCAUCAUUACUUUAAGACAUGAAGGUCAGUCAAUACAACAGUCCAUCAUUACUUUAAGACAUGAAGGUCAGUCA
Molecule: long non-coding RNA, 817 nt
Organism: Oncorhynchus keta (chum salmon)
Lineage: Eukaryota; Metazoa; Chordata; Actinopteri; Salmoniformes; Salmonidae
Exons: 4
Source: RefSeq, a predicted model, not a curated record